RNAcentral lists this non-coding RNA (27 nucleotides) under Rattus norvegicus (Norway rat). Lineage: Eukaryota; Metazoa; Chordata; Mammalia; Rodentia; Muridae. The record is from RNAcentral.
UGGCAGCUGGAGAAGUUCUGGUGUUGA